AGAGUUUGAUCAUGGCUCAGAAUGAACGCUGGCGGCGUGCCUAACACAUGCAAGUCGGAUGUGCCGCAAGGUGCAUGGCAGACGGGUGAGUAACGCGUGGGGAAUCUACCUCUUUGUGGGGAAUAACGCUCCGAAAGGAGUGGUAAUACCGCAUGAGACCGUGGACUGGGAUGUCCAUGGUGAAACCUGGGGACCGAAAGGCCUGGGGCAAGGAGAGGAUCCUGCGUCUGAUUAGCUAGUUGGCGGGGUAAUGGCCCACCAAGGCGACGAUCAGUAGCCGGCCUGAGAGGGUGAUCGGCCACACUGGAACUGAGACACGGUCCAGACUCCUACGGGAGGCAGCAGUGGGGAAUUUUGCGCAAUGGACGAAAGUCUGACGCAGCAACGCCGCGUGGGUGAUGAAGGUCUUCGGACUGUAAAACCCUGUCGUCAGGGACGAAGGUGGGGGCGUUAAUAGCGCUUUCAUUUGACGGUACCUGGAGAGGAAGCCCCGGCUAACUCUGUGCCAGCAGCCGCGGUAAUACAGAGGGGGCAAGCGUUAUUCGGAAUUAUUGGGCGUAAAGGGCGCGUAGGCGGUUUUUUAAGUCAGAUGUGUAAUCCCCGAGCUUAACUUGGGAACUGCAUCUGAGACUGGAAGGCUAGAGUA
This 646-nucleotide ribosomal RNA is filed under the name uncultured Acidobacteriota bacterium. RNAcentral describes it as "bacterial SSU rRNA". It matches the Rfam family "Bacterial small subunit ribosomal RNA", at positions 8 to 648 of the family's 1533-position model. Lineage: Bacteria; Pseudomonadati; Acidobacteriota. The record is from RNAcentral.